UGAACUACAAAGCAAGUUACAGCACAGACAGA
RNAcentral lists this non-coding RNA (32 nucleotides) under Rattus norvegicus (Norway rat). The record is from RNAcentral. Lineage: Eukaryota; Metazoa; Chordata; Mammalia; Rodentia; Muridae.